Molecule: long non-coding RNA, 615 nt
Organism: Halichondria panicea
Lineage: Eukaryota; Metazoa; Porifera; Demospongiae; Suberitida; Halichondriidae
Exons: 3
Source: RefSeq, a predicted model, not a curated record
AUAGGCUCUAGAUCUAGUGUGAUCUUUACCAAUUGUAGUCUUGCAGAACAUUAAAAGCUUCAGAGGAAAUUAAAGGAACAAGGCCACCUCUUUACCCUUAAUGUAUUAAGUAUUACCCUCCAUCAUAUCCCAGAUCUACCCCGGCGUGGUGGGGUACCCUAUCCCAGACCUGUCUCUCCUCAUUUCUCACGGAUGGAACUGACUUGAGGUUUCACCUCUUCGAGAAUGUGUGGCAUUGAUCUCGAAGACUUCAUCCUGCUUCCAGACUCUGGAUACCCUCUCAGCUUUGAGUACUCAACAAUAUUGAAACUGUCCUGAACUUUUGCUGAACUUGAAAGUCAAGGUAUUACAUAGGUCUAUGACUAGGUCCAUGUAUAUAGUUUCCUAAAAGAUGAUCUGUAUCACACCAAAUUCUAUACCCUAUACUCUAGACAAUUUUUCACAUCUGUACAUGUAUAGUUACAUGCGCUAUUUAAUAUUUGCGUACAAACAUUGAAGCCAGGUUGAACCUUUUCUUUGACCACUUGAUGACGUAUUGUUGACCCUUUAUACUGUAUAUAUAGAGGAGAGAGUAUAAUUACUUCAAGGGUAUAAACGUUUGUGGAAAGACAGUUA